Molecule: ribosomal RNA, 483 nt
Filed under: uncultured bacterium
Lineage: Bacteria
Description: partial 16S ribosomal RNA
Rfam family: Bacterial small subunit ribosomal RNA
Source: RNAcentral
UUGAACGCUGGCGGCAGGCCUAACACAUGCCAGUCGAGCGGAUGAAGGGAGCUUGCUCCUGGAUUCAGCGGCGGACGGGUGAGUAAUGCCUAGGAAUCUGCCUGGUAGUGGGGGAUAACGUCCGGAAACGGGCGCUAAUACCGCAUACGUCCUGAGGGAGAAAGUGGGGGAUCUUCGGACCUCACGCUAUCAGAUGAGCCUAGGUCGGAUUAGCUAGUUGGUGGGGUAAAGGCCUACCAAGGCGACGAUCCGUAACUGGUCUGAGAGGAUGAUCAGUCACACUGGAACUGAGACACGGUCCAGACUCCUACGGGAGGCAGCAGUGGGGAAUAUUGGACAAUGGGCGAAAGCCUGAUCCAGCCAUGCCGCGUGUGAGAAGAAGGUCUUCGGAUUGUAAAGCACUUUAAGUUGGGAGGAAGGGCAGUAAGUUAAUACCUUGCUGUUUUGACGUUACCAACAGAAUAAGCACCGGCUAACUUCGUG